CCAAGCAAACCCAUGUUAUACUUGCUGAUGAAAUGGGACUUGGAAAAACCAUUCAGAGCAUUGCGUUUUUAGCAUCGCUCUUUGAAAGUAACGUUUCACCACACUUGGUGAUUGCUCCCCUCUCCACGUUGAGAAACUGGGAGCGUGAAUUUGCAACGUGGGCACCUCAGAUGAAUGUUGUUAUGUAUUUUGGAUCUGGCAACGCCCGUGAUUUGAUACGAGAGUAUGAGUUUUACUUUCCCAAGAACCAAAAGGGGUUCCAGAGGAAGAAAUCUAAACAGCUUGUUGAUGAAACCAAGCAAGGAAGAAUAAAGUUUGAUGUUCUUUUGACAUCAUAUGAGAUGAUAAAUUGUGAUUUAUUAGCACUAAAGCCUAUAAAGUGGGAGUGCAUGAUAGUUGAUGAGGGUCACCGUCUGAAAAACAAAAAUUCUAAGUUGUUUUCUUCGUUGACCCAACUUUCCAGCAAACAUCGUGUGCUUUUGACUGGAACUCCUCUUCAGAACAAUUUGGAUGAACUUUUUAUUCUGAUGCACUUCCUUGAUGCUGGAAAGGUUUG
RNAcentral lists this small RNA (556 nucleotides) under Vigna angularis var. angularis. RNAcentral describes it as "Non-protein coding transcript". Lineage: Eukaryota; Viridiplantae; Streptophyta; Magnoliopsida; Fabales; Fabaceae. The record is from RNAcentral.